AACUUCACCCACAGCUACCAUGACUUUGAUCCCCGUCUUCGUCUGGACACUGAUCCUCUGGACUCAAGAAUGCAGAGGUCAGGCCACAGUAACUCAGACUCCUGCAGUGAAAUCUGCUCUUCCAGGAGAAACAGUCACCAUCAACUGUAGAAUCAGUCAGGCAGUGUACAAGGGCUCAUCUGGUGACUGCUUAUACUGGUAUCAACAGAAACCUGGAGAAGCUCCUAAACUCCUGAUUAAACUUGUAAAUCAGUUACAGUCAGGUUUUCCAGCUCGUUUCAGUGGCAGUGGAUCUGGAUCUGAUUUCACUCUGACCAUCAGUGGAGUCCAGACUGAAGAUGCAGGAGAUUACUACUGUCAGAGUGGACAUUCCAUCACUGGCUACUGGUUCACACAGUGUUAAAGAGUCGUACAAAAACCUCCCUCAGUCAGAUUGUAGAGAGACUGCACUGCUGCAGCUGGGAGCGACUGCAGGUGCUGAGUUGUAGGAUGUGAUACGACACAAUGACACUCUGUGGAGGAGAGGAACCACACCAUACUAACUCACAACUCAUAUUACAAAUCUCUCAAUAAUCAUCACACCACACUGCACACAGUCCAUCACAUCCACUACUUUAAGAUAAUUCGUUUUUUUAGUUUGCUGAGGUGCUAUUUGUCAUAACUGAAACUGUUUGGUGGAUAAUUUUUUUUUUCAGUCUCUAUCACUAAUCCUGCCCCCAUUACAGUCUCUGAUUCUGACCUGAUAUCAGUCACUGUUAUUAAUCUUAUUAAAAUUAGUCUCGUGUGUGUUUCAGGUCACACUCUGGCCCUGCUCUGGAUUCUGGCUCAGUCACUGGUGUAGCUCCUCCUGUCCUUUAACAGCUGCCCUCUAACACACAAUAGUGUAAACUUUUUUGGACCUGGUCUUCAUCCAUCCUUCAUCAGCUCUAGAUAUCAGCAUUACCAUUUCUAUCUGUUCCUGUCAUUACAGAAGUUUCGUGUCCAGUUUGUCUCACCUGUUGUCCUGUUCUGUUGUACUCCUAGUGCACUUUGAGUUCUUCUGUGUAAUUAUGUGUAUGUUAUUAAUAUUCUGAGUCUUUAUGAGGAAAAGUAAUUAGAUUUCAUUCAGUUUUAUAUGAAAGAAGUUGUAAGAAAACGUAUGAACACUAGCCUGCCCCUAAUCCUAACCAUAGCCACUAAUUUUUGUGACAUUGUAUGAGACCACAUUGAAAUAAUACACGUCCUGCUCUCUACUUUUAGCUCAAGUCAUUCACCUUUCAUUUUUACACACUUGUGUACAUUUAUGUAUGGACAUAUUGUAAUUUUGAUUUGUUACACCUGCUUUCAGUUCAGUAAGAUGUUCACAUAUUUCCCAUCCAGUUAAAGUUUUUUUUUUAUCCUUGAUUUUUAAUUUACUGAUUUAUUGCUUUUAUCCAAAGAGAUAUAAAAGUGAUUAAAACAUAUCUUAUUUUCCAUGAAUUUUGCAUACUCAGGACCUUCAGAAAUGGCUGAAAGUCAUAUACAACAUUCCUGUAAACAGCCCUGUAGGAGCCUGACCUGACUGUGUGUGUGUGUGAAAAUGGACAAGAUUUUGGUCUUGAAUAGUACUCUAUUACUGCCUUGAUAUGUGUUUCUUUCUUAGUCUUGGUGCUAGUUUCUGGGUCUUUCUUGUUUUUUUUUUUUUACUAGUUUUCCUUGUCUUGUCUAAAUUCUUGUUUUGCCCUUGUUU
This is a non-coding RNA of Pangasianodon hypophthalmus (striped catfish), 1708 nucleotides long. NCBI's taxonomy places the organism in Eukaryota, Metazoa, Chordata, Actinopteri, Siluriformes, Pangasiidae. The record is from the annotation of a RefSeq genome assembly.